RNAcentral lists this long non-coding RNA (240 nucleotides) under Elaeis guineensis (African oil palm). RNAcentral's name for it is "long non-coding RNA (EGUI_LNC020008)". The record is from RNAcentral. Lineage: Eukaryota; Viridiplantae; Streptophyta; Magnoliopsida; Arecales; Arecaceae.
UAUGUAUUAUUACUAAUUGACAAAACAUAUAUAGUAUUUUGAUUGUUAUUGCUUCAACCAAUUUAAACCGAUGUAUUUGGAGAUAUCGCUCAAUGGAUAUGAAAUUAAAUAUUCAAUAACUUUUUUCAUCCCUAUUUACUCUCCAUCAAUAGGUUUCUUGAUCAUGGUGAAAGAUAGGCAAUGAUGAUGAGGAGCAACAGUUACAACCAUGGUCAAUAAUGACAGGAAUGACUUAGGGCA